AAAAAGACAUUUCUGUGACAUUCAGAUGGGGCCUACCUGAAUUUACAAAAGAAGUGAUACAAGCAAAAAAUUUGGACAAGACCUGGAUAAAAGGAUACACAGUGCAGUGUUGGUUUAUCGAGAAUCAAAAAAAGAUUGAAAUCUGCGAUGAUAGAAGGAUC
Non-coding RNA from Nylanderia fulva, 161 nucleotides. NCBI's taxonomy places the organism in Eukaryota, Metazoa, Arthropoda, Insecta, Hymenoptera, Formicidae. The record is from RefSeq and is a predicted model, not a curated record.